GAAACGGUUGAACAUGUUUUGCUGCAUUGCAGGAAAUAUAGUAUUCAGAGAAAUGUGCUUUUCCAAACACUGAAGAAAGCAAAAUACAUUGACUUUUCGCUAUCAGGGCUGUUAGGGAAAACAUCAGGCAAUAUGUAUUGUGAGCUUAUUACGUUUCUUAGAGAAAUUGAUCAAUUUAAAAUAAUCUAGAGUUUUGGUUUUAUUUAUUUUGUUGUUUUUUGUUUGUUUUAUUUUGUUUAUUGUUUUCUGCAUAGUCUCUUGUCCAUACUCCAGUCCAGUUGGUGGCGGUAAUGCACCUAAAAUUUGGUUUGCCAACCGCCAAUAAACACUAAAGAAGAAGAAGAAGAAGAAGUUUGACUCUCUCGAAGGUUGG
This is a long non-coding RNA of Notothenia coriiceps (black rockcod), 373 nucleotides long. RefSeq lists it as uncharacterized. The transcript is spliced from 4 exons. The record is from RefSeq and is a predicted model, not a curated record. NCBI's taxonomy places the organism in Eukaryota, Metazoa, Chordata, Actinopteri, Perciformes, Nototheniidae.